Molecule: ribosomal RNA, 458 nt
Filed under: uncultured marine microorganism
Description: bacterial SSU rRNA
Rfam family: Bacterial small subunit ribosomal RNA
Source: RNAcentral
GGGGAAUUUUCCGCAAUGGGCGAAAGCCUGACGGAGCAAUACCGCGUGAGGGAGGAAUGCCUUUGGGUUGUAAACCUCUUUUCUCAGGGAAGAAGAUCUGACGGUACCUGAGGAAUAAGUGUCGGCUAACUCCGUGCCAGCAGCCGCGGUAAUACGGAGGAUGCAGGCGUUAUCCGGAAUUAUUGGGCGUAAAGCGUCCGCAGGUGGUUUCCAAAGUCUGCUGUUAAAGACUGGAGCUCAACUCCGGAACGGCGGUGGAAACUUGGAAACUAGAGUUCGGUAGGGGUAGCAGGAAUUCCCAGUGUAGCGGUGAAAUGCGUAGAUAUUGGGAAGAACAUCGGUGGCGAAGGCGUGCUACUGGACCGUAACUGACACUCAGGGACGAAAGCUAGGGGAGCGAAAGGGAUUAGAUACCCCUGUAGUCCUAGCUGUAAACGAUGGAAACUAGGUGUGGCUUG